CAAAAUGUAGUUUAAAUAAAACCCCUUGCUUACACCAAGACAAUGUCUAUUAACUAUUAGACCAUNNGGGA
This 71-nucleotide transfer RNA is filed under the name Afrixalus fornasini (leaf-folding frog). Its description in RNAcentral is "tRNA-Val". The record is from RNAcentral. Lineage: Eukaryota; Metazoa; Chordata; Amphibia; Anura; Hyperoliidae.